This 3496-nucleotide long non-coding RNA is filed under the name Citrus x clementina. RNAcentral's name for it is "Citrus clementina (C. clementina) long non-coding RNA (CCLE_LNC001244)". Lineage: Eukaryota; Viridiplantae; Streptophyta; Magnoliopsida; Sapindales; Rutaceae. The record is from RNAcentral.
ACGGAAUCGGAUGCCCGGAUCAUGAGAUACGGAAAAAACCGUCGAAACCUACUGAGCGCACCCCGAACAUGCCCAUUUUUCGGCGUUCAAACCGCCGCGCGGCUACCCCCCCAUCCCGAUGCCCCCGGAACCCUGGUCCCGUGGAGCCCAAUGGAAACGGAAUCGAAGGCCCGGAUCAUGAGUACGGCCCCUUCUUUGCGGCCCCCGACGCCGUGCGCUAUAGCCCCCCGGGCCACCCACCAGCCAGCCGCACCUGCCCAAACCCCACUGAACGCGUCCGCCGCCUCCCGAUCCCGCCCCGCUGUCCCCCCAGGGGCAUGAACCGCCCCCCCGGGGGCCGAAACCGGCAAAACCGCCCCGAUCAAGCCCAUUUUUCGGCAUUCAAACCGCGGUGUGGCUACCCCCCCAUCCCGAUGCCACCGGACCCCUGGCCCCGUGGGACCUGACGGAAACGGAAUCGGAUGCCCGGAUCGUGAGAUACGGCCAAAACCGUCAAAACCUACUGAGCGCACCCCGAACAUACCCAUUUCCCCACCCCGAUGCCCCCAGACCCCCGGUCCCGUGGGACCCGACGGAAACGGAAUCGGAUGCCUGGAUCAUGAGAAAAGGCCAAAACCGUCACACCCUACUAAUUGCACCCCGCACAUGCCCAUUUUCCGGCGUUCAAACUGCCGCGCGGGUACCCCCCUAUCUUGAUGCCCCCGGAACCAUGGUCCCGUGGCACCCGACAGAAACGGAAUCAAAGGCCUGGAUCUUGGGUUACGGCUCCCUCUUUGCGGCCCCCGAGGCCGUGCGCUAUAGCCACCCGGGCUACCCCCCAGCAGGCCGCACCCUCCUGAACCCCACUGAACGCGUCCGCCGCCUCCCGAUCCCGCCCCGCGGUCCCCCCCGGGGCAUGAACCGCCCCCCGGGGGGCCGAAACCGGCAAAACCGGCAAAACCGCCCCAAUCGUGUCCAUUUUUUGGCGUUCAAACUGCCGCGGCUACCCUCCCAUCCCGAGGCCCCCGGACUCCUGGUCCCGAGGGACCUGACGGAAACGGAAUCGGAUGCCCGGAUCAUGAGAUACGGCCACAACCGUCAAAACCUACUGAGCGCACCCCGAACAUGCCCAUUUUUCGGCGAUCAAACCGCCACGCGACUAUCCCCCCAUCCCGAUGCCCCCGGAUCGCCGGUCCCGUGGGACCCGACGGAAACGGAAUCGGAGGCCCGGAUCAUGAGUUACGGCAUAUUCUUUAGGGCCCCUGACGCCGUACGCUAUAGCCACCCGGGCCACCCCCAGCUGGCCGCACCCGCCCGAAUCCCGCCGAAUGCGUCCGUCGCCUCCCGAACCCGCCCAUCGGUCCCUCCCAGGGCAUUAACCGCCCCCGGGGGCCUGAAACCGGCCAAACCGACAAAACCGCCCCGAUCAUGCCCGUUUUUCGGCGUUCAAAACGCCGCGCGGCUAACCCCCCGGACCCCUGGUCCCGUGGGACCUGACGGAAACGAAAUCGGAUGCCCGGAUCGUGAGAUACGGCCAAAACCGUCAAAACGUACUGAGCGCACCCCGAACAUACCUAUUUCCCCACCCCAAUGCCCCCAGACCCCCGGUCCCGUGGGACCCGACGGAAACGGAAUCGGAUGCCUGGAUCCUGAGAAACGGCGAAAACCGUCAAACCCUACUAAGCUCACCCCGCACAUGCCCAUUUUUCAGCGUUCAAACUGCCGCGCGGCUCCCCCCCUAUCCUGAUGCCCCUGGAACCAUGGUCCCGUGGGACCCGACGGAAACGGAAUCAGAGGCCUGGAUCAUGGUUUACGGCCCCUUCUUUGCGGCCCCCGAGGCCGUGCGCUAUAGCCACCCGGGCUGCCACCCAGCCGGCCGCACCCUCCCGAACCCCACCGAACGCGUCCGCCGCCNNNNNNNNNNNNNNNNNNNNNNNNNNNNNNNNNNNNNNNNNNNNNNNNNNNNNNNNNNNNNNNNNNNNNNNNNNNNNNNNNNNNNNNNNNNNNNNNNNNNGGGCCGAAACCGGCCAAACCGGCAAAACCGCCCCGAUCGUGGCCAUUUUUCGGCAUUCAAACUGCCGCGGCUACCCCCCCCAUCCCGAGACCCCGGACCCCUGGUCCCGUCGGACCUGACGGAAACGGAAUCGGAUGCCCGGAUCAUGAGAUACGGCCACAACCGUCAAAACCUACUGAGCGCACCCCGAACAUGCCCAUUUUUCGGCAUUCAAACCGCCGCGCCGCUACCCCCCCAUCCCGAUGCCCCCGGAACCCUGGUCCCGUGGGACCCGACGGAAACGGAAUCGGAGGCCCGGAUCAUGAGUUACGGCCUAUUCUUUGGGGCCCCCGACGCCGUACGCUAUAGCCACCCGGGCCACCCCCAGCCGGCCGCACCCGCCUGAAUCCCGCCGAACGCGUCCGUCGCCUCCCGAACCCGCCCCUCGGUCCCUCCCAGGGCAUUAACCGCCCCCGGGGGCCCGAAACCGGCCAAACCGGCAAAACUGCCCCGAUCAUGCCCAUUUUUCGGCGUUCAAAACGCCGCGCGGUUAACCCCCCAUCCCGAUGCCCCCGGACCCCUGGUCUCGUGGGACCUGACGGAAACGGAAUCGGAUGCCCGGAUCAUGAGAUACGGCCAAAACUGUCAAACCUACUGAGCACACCCCGAACAUGCCCAUUUUUCGGCGUUCAAACCGCCGUGCGGCUACCCCCCAUCCCGAUGCCCCCGAACCCUGGUCCCGUGGGACUUGACGGACACGGAAUCGGAUGCCCGGAUCAUGAGAUACGGCCAAAACCGUCAAACCUACUGAGCGCACCCCGAACAUGCCCAUUUUUAGGUGUUCAAACCGCUGCGCUGCUACCCCCCAUCCCGAUGCCCCCGGAAUCCUGGCCCCGUGGGACCCGACGGAAACGGAAUCGGAGGCACAAAUCAUGAGAUACGGCCAAAACCGUCAAAAUCUAGUGAGCGCACCCCGAACAAGCCCCUUUUUCGGCGUUCAAACUGCCGUGCGGCUACCUUCCCAUCCCGAUGCCCCCAGAACCGUGGUCCCUUGGGACCCGACGGAAACGGAAUUGGAGGCCUGGAUCAUGAGUUACGGCCCCUUCUUUGCGGCCCCUGAGGCCGUGCGCUAUAGCCACCCGGGCUACCCCCCAGCCGGCCGCACCCUCCCGAACCCCACCAAACGUGUCCGCCACCUCCGAUUCCGCCCCGCAGUCCCCCCCGGGGCAUGAACCGCCCUCCGGGGGGCCGAAACCGGCUAAACCGGCAAAACCCAUUUUUCGGCGUUCAAACUGCCGCGGCUACCCCCCAAUCCCGAUGCCCCCGGACCCCUGGUCCCGUGGGACCUGACAGAAACGGAAUCGGAAGCCCGGAUCAUGAGAUACGGCCAAAACCGUCAAAACCUACUGAGCGCACCCCGAACAUGCCCAUUUUUCGGCGUUCAAACCGCCACGCGGCUACCCUCCCAUCCCGAUGCCCCCGGAACCCUGGUCCCGUUGGACCGGACGGAAACGGAAUCGAAGG